RNAcentral lists this ribosomal RNA (163 nucleotides) under uncultured bacterium. Its description in RNAcentral is "partial 16S rRNA". It matches the Rfam family "Bacterial small subunit ribosomal RNA", at positions 355 to 511 of the family's 1533-position model. The record is from RNAcentral.
GGGGGAAUAUUGCACAAUGGGCGCAAGCCUGAUGCAGCCAUGCCGCGUGUAUGAAGAAGGCCUUGGGUUGUAAAGUACUUUCAGCGGGGAGGAAGGCGAUAAGGUUAAUAACCUUGUCGAUUGACGUUACCCGCAGAAGAAGCACCGGCUAACUCCGUGCCAG